This 253-nucleotide ribosomal RNA is filed under the name uncultured bacterium. RNAcentral's name for it is "partial 16S ribosomal RNA". It matches the Rfam family "Bacterial small subunit ribosomal RNA", at positions 524 to 776 of the family's 1533-position model. The record is from RNAcentral.
GACGAGCCACACAAGCGUUAUUCGGAAUUACUGGGCUUAAAGGGUGCGUAGGCGGCCAACUAAGUCAGACGUGAAAUCCCUCGGCUUAACCGGGGAACUGCAUCUGAUACUGGAUGGCUUGAGUUCGGGAGAGGGAUGCGGAAUUCCAGGUGUAGCGGUGAAAUGCGUAGAUAUCUGGAGGAACACCGGUGGCGAAGGCGGCAUCCUGGACCGGCACUGACGCUGAGGAGCGAAAGCGUGGGGAGCGAACAGG